Cyanistes caeruleus (blue tit) is the source of this 299-nucleotide long non-coding RNA. RefSeq lists it as uncharacterized. The record is from RefSeq and is a predicted model, not a curated record. Lineage: Eukaryota; Metazoa; Chordata; Aves; Passeriformes; Paridae.
AUGUCUCCUGCUCAGCCUCAGACCUGGCUGCUGCUCUGAGGGACAUCCAGAUAUAGGAUGAAAAAAUCGCAGCCAAGAACCUGCAGGAAAUGAAUGAGUGGUACAAAACCAGAUUUACUGACUUUAAUAAAGCUUCCACAAAACAUGCUGAGAAUGUGAGCCAUUUCAGGGAAGGAAUAGGGAAAAGAAGUGCUGUAUUUUGCAACAAGCGAGGUGGAUUGGAGGAGUAGUGACCCUGGAUGUGACCCCAUGUGUCAAAUCAGCAGGAAGUAGCCACAAAUAAUAUUUAUACAUCUGAA